UACGUAGGGGGCAAGCGUUGUCCGGAUUUACUGGGCGUAAAGAGCAUGUAGGCGGCCAAGCAGGUCCGUUGUGAAAACUGGAGGCUUAACCUCCAGACGUCGACGGAAACCGCGUGGCUAGAGUCCGGAAGAGGAGAGUGGAAUUCCUGGUGUAGCGGUGAAAUGCGCAGAUAUCAGGAAGAACACCAAUGGCGAAGGCAGCUCUCUGGGACGGUACUGACGCUGAGACGCGAAAGCGUGGGGAGCGAACAGG
Molecule: ribosomal RNA, 253 nt
Filed under: uncultured bacterium
Lineage: Bacteria
Description: partial 16S ribosomal RNA
Rfam family: Bacterial small subunit ribosomal RNA
Source: RNAcentral